ACUAAUGUCAACCCUUGUGCUCAAACAAGUCUUCAAGACACUGAAAAUCAGCAGAAUGCAGUUAUCGGGAAGUUCUUUUUGUUUUAUGUCUCUAAUUUUUGCCUGGAUCGCCCUUUCGGGUUUUCAAUCCACCGAGACGCUCAUUUUUGCCUAAGCCGCCCUUUCGGGUUUUCAAUUUAGCGAGUUGUUCUUUUAUUUUUAUUUUUUUAGGCGAAGUAUUUCUUGACUGCAUCUGCG
Molecule: long non-coding RNA, 237 nt
Filed under: Lathyrus oleraceus (garden pea)
Lineage: Eukaryota; Viridiplantae; Streptophyta; Magnoliopsida; Fabales; Fabaceae
Description: Pisum sativum (pea) long non-coding RNA (PSAT_LNC020857)
Source: RNAcentral